CCAGCACUCUUCUUACCAGUGGAUUGGAUUGGUGACUGCAGCUUUGUCAGCAGCCGUGACUCCAUGUCCCAGGAUGCAGGGCAACCCAUCUGGGGAAGAGCCGAGGAGGCAGAGGAUGCCCUUCUAUGCAAACUACGGUGGCAGGACCAGCCUUCCACCUCCCUGGAGGUGAUCUGUGCUCUGGAUGUGCUGACUUGGAGAAGCAGGAACCUUUUUCUACAAGAGGCAGUUACCUACAUCCUGAAUUAAGGAAUCUGUUCUGAAACAACACACUCACAGAUUUAAAGCAGUAUUCUUUUUUUUUUUAACCAUAGGAGGUUUCCAGGCCAGGGACUGAAUCCGAGCUGUAGGUGUGACCUACACUGAACCUAUGGCAACAUUGCAUCCCUGCACUGGGCCAGGGAUUGAACCUGCACCUCUGAAAUAACCCAAACUGCUGUAGUCAGGUUCUGAACCCACUUUGCCACAGCGGGAAUUCCUUAAAGCAGUACUCUUCAUUGUAGAGCUCUAAUGAGGUUGUCAGCAAGGGUAAAAAGGUCAUCUUAAUGAUUUAGACCGAGUGAGUGAAUGAGGGAUCUUGUCUUGAGUUUUAUCUAUUUAAUAAGAAAUCUGUUUACUAAGAAACCAGGACCUUGACAGAGAUCCAGAAAUGAUUAUAGAAUUCUCAGCUUGGGGCUGCCAGUAUCCUCAAUGAGUAGCAGCUAAUGCUCCCAAGAUGCCCGUGGCCAUAACGCCACUUUUUUUAAAGCAUGAAAACCUUUCCUUUCAGUUUGACCAAUGCCUAUUGCACGUUUUAAAAAUAUACUUUCAUAAACAUAAUUCUGGAAAAGCUAGAGUGAUGGACAUGAAGGUCUGAGUAAAAUAAAUUAGGUGUCAUAUAUUACUCUGUUAACACAGAGUAAGAAUUUUUUCUUGCACUGCAUCUUUUUGAAGGAUCACAAAUUUCUGUGCUGCUGUCACUACAGAGCCACUAUGCAAGCUUUCUGAGAAAUUAUAAAGGACACACAAAAAGCCUUUGAAGAUGAAAGAAGGGAAAUGCUGUCCCUAUCACAGGAAAUUAGAGACUGCUGGAAUUAUAAGGGUACCAGAGCAAAUGAUCAAACAAGCCAUUAUAAUACUGUAUAGGUAGCAGUGAACAUAGCUUUUAGGAGAACAUCUUAUUAACUAGGAUUACGUAGGGGUUUUUUUUUUAAUGACAUGAGCAAAGCAGUUUUAAUACCAAUAAGAUUUCUGCGUCCACUUGGUUGAGCAAACAACACAGAACCGUGGAUCUAGCUUGUCCUUUCUGUGGACUCCCCAUGACACUCUGAAUAUAUCACUCAUCCUUUUAUGUCUUGGAUUCUCUUCCAGUAAAAGCAAAUAAUACUUCCUAUUUGUCAAUAUCCCCUGGAGUGCCCUUGAGAUGUUUAGGACUGGGAUCCAAAUCCUAAGGAUAUUUGUAACCCUAAUAGAUGCUGACAGGGUGGCUUCCUGGCUCACAGCACCCCCAAAUCAGCCCCCCCCUUUUUUUGUCUUUUUGCCUUUUCUAGGGCCACUUCCCAUAGCAUAUGGAGGUUUCCAGGCUAGGGGUCAAAUCUGAGCUGUAGCCACCGGCCCACACCACAGCCACAACAACACGGGAUCUAAGCUGCGUCUGCGACCUACACCACAGCUCAGGGCAAUGCUGGAUCCUUAACCCACUGAGCGAGGCCAGGGAUUGAACCCUCAUCCUCAUGGUUCCUAGUCGGAUUCAUUAACCACUGCGCCACGACGGGAACUCCCAAAUCAACCCCUUUGAUGCAGAAAGUUUGUGAUAGAAAAUGGUCCUAUCUGGACUGCAGGAGCCUAGUCCCUUUGCCCACAGCUGAUUAGUACAGGGAUAGUCCCUUCAUUCCAACUGGGCUAAUCAAAUUCUUCUCCCAGGACACCAAGUGGAAAGACAGAAAGGCACUCAAAGAUUGGAAAUUGUCAAUCUAGAGUCGUGAGAUACUUUUAAUUAAAGUUGUGAAAUAACAGAAGUUCCCAUGUGGCUCAGCCAGUUAAGGACCUGGCAUUGGCAGUGCUGUGGAUUGGGUCUCUGCUGUGGCCUGGGUCUCUGCUGUGGCCUGGAUUUGAUCUCUAGCCCGGAAACUUCUGCGUGCCUCAGGCACAGCCAUAGAUAAAUUAAACUGUGAAAUAAUAAAAUAGAUAACAAGGCAAUAUUCUCAGCCCCUCCCCUCACACAUUGGCGUGGCUCCCUCCCAGAGCCUAUAGUCAUCCCAGCUGGGGCCUGCUGUGCAGGACAGGAACCCAUCCCUCAUCCUUUGGGGAUGCUCCAUUCUACAGCCUUCCAUCCCACAUAGGGUCAACGAGACACUGCCAAGACUCCUGCCUAUGCAGUAACCCAGGAGCCCCACGGCUGGGCCCUGGUUCCAGUAGGUGGCCUGGUGUGGUAGUUCCUCUUGCUGUCUGGCAUAGCCUCUCUUUUGUGGAAUUGUAGGAGAUAGGGCUGCCAGGAUGGCGCUGACAGACCGAUUUGGGAGCCCUACACACCCUAUUGGUCCCUGUCAGAGAGCAUUACUAGCAGUAAACUUAUAUAAAUAUAGUUUAUAUAAAUCAUAUAAAAGAAUAUAAUUUAUGUUAUAUAAAUAUAUAAAUAUCAUUUAUACAAAUGUCAUUAUUUAAAUAAAUACAUUUAUAUAUGUAAUAAUUCC
This 2672-nucleotide long non-coding RNA is filed under the name Sus scrofa (pig). RNAcentral's name for it is "lncRNA (ENSSSCG00015075047.1)". Lineage: Eukaryota; Metazoa; Chordata; Mammalia; Artiodactyla; Suidae. The record is from RNAcentral.